GACGAACGCUGGCGGCGCGCUUUAUACAUGCAAGUCGAACGUGAAGCUCGGAGCUUGCUCCGGGUGGAAAGUGGCGAACGGGUGAGUAUCACGUGAGAAACCUGCCCCGAAGACCGGGAUAACACCGGGAAACCGGUGCUAAUACCGGAUGCCCUCACCGGAUCGCAUGGUCUGGUGAGGAAAUGGAUUCCGCUUCGGGAUGGUCUCGCGGCCUAUCAGCUUGUUGGUGGGGUAAUGGCCCACCAAGGCUUCGACGGGUAGCUGGUCUGAGAGGAUGUCCAGCCACACUGGGACUGAGACACGGCCCAGACUCCUACGGGAGGCAGCAGUAGGGAAUCUUGCACAAUGGACGAAAGCCUGACGCAGCGACGCCGCGUGAGGGAUGAC
RNAcentral lists this ribosomal RNA (387 nucleotides) under uncultured bacterium. RNAcentral's name for it is "bacterial SSU rRNA". It matches the Rfam family "Bacterial small subunit ribosomal RNA", at positions 28 to 412 of the family's 1533-position model. The record is from RNAcentral.